UUGGAGGGCAAGUCUGGUGCCAGCAGCCGCGGUAAUUCCAGCUCCAAUAGCGUAUAUUAAAGUUGCUGCAGUUAAAAAGCUCGUAGUUGAAUUUCGGGACCAAUAUGUCGGUCGUGCCUCGGUACGUACUGGCAUCGUUGGUUUCUUCCUUCUGACGAAUCAUGAUGUCAUUCAUUUGGUGUCGUGGGGAAUCAGGACUGUUACUUUGAAAAAAUUAGAGUGUUUAAAGCAGGCUCACGCUUGAAUACAUUAGCAUGGAAUAAUGAAAUAGGACGUUUGAUUCUAUUUUGUUGGUUUCUAGGAUCGACGUAAUGAUUAAUAGGGAUAGUUGGGGGCAUUAGUAUUCAAUUGUCAGAGGUGAAAUUCUUGGAUUUAUUGAAGACUAACUACUGCGAAGGCAUUUGCCAAGGAUGUUUUCAUUAAUCAAGAACGAAAGUUAGGGGAUCGAAGACGAUCAGAUACCGUCGUAGUCUUAACCAUAAACUAUGCCGACUAGGGAUCGGAUGACGUUAAUUUUUUAAUGACUCAUUCGGCGCCUUACGGGAAACCAAAGUGUUUGGGUUC
RNAcentral lists this ribosomal RNA (564 nucleotides) under uncultured Glomeromycotina. RNAcentral's name for it is "SSU rRNA". It matches the Rfam family "Eukaryotic small subunit ribosomal RNA", at positions 548 to 1114 of the family's 1831-position model. The record is from RNAcentral. Lineage: Eukaryota; Fungi; Glomeromycota.